GUGUACAGCCAUACCACCCUGAAUACACCUGAUUUCAGAAGCCAAGCAGGAGUCAAGGCUGCUUAGUCCUGGGAUGGGAGACCACCUUGGGAUACCAGAUGCCCUAGGCU
Ribosomal RNA from Aotus nancymaae (Ma's night monkey), 110 nucleotides. The record is from Ensembl. Lineage: Eukaryota; Metazoa; Chordata; Mammalia; Primates; Aotidae.